Molecule: ribosomal RNA, 1434 nt
Filed under: uncultured bacterium
Lineage: Bacteria
Description: bacterial SSU rRNA
Rfam family: Bacterial small subunit ribosomal RNA
Source: RNAcentral
AGAGUUUGAUCCUGGCUCAGGAUGAACGCCCCUGGUGUGCCUAAUACAUGCAAGUCGUACGCACUGGCCCAACUGAUUGAUGGUGCUUGCACCUGAUUGACGAUGGAUCACCAGUGAGUGGCGGACGGGUGAGUAACACGUAGGUAACCUGCCCCGGAGCGGGGGAUAACAUUUGGAAACAGAUGCUAAUACCGCAUAACAACAAAAGCCACAUGGCUUUUGUUUGAAAGAUGGCUUUGGCUAUCACUCUGGGAUGGACCUGCGGUGCAUUAGCUAGUUGGUAAGGUAACGGCUUACCAAGGCGAUGAUGCAUAGCCGAGUUGAGAGACUGAUCGGCCACAAUGGAACUGAGACACGGUCCAUACUCCUACGGGAGGCAGCAGUAGGGAAUCUUCCACAAUGGGCGCAAGCCUGAUGGAGCAACACCGCGUGAGUGAAGAAGGGUUUCGGCUCGUAAAGCUCUGUUGUUGGAGAAGAACGUGCGUGAGAGUAACUGUUCACGCAGUGACGGUAUCCAACCAGAAAGUCACGGCUAACUACGUGCCAGCAGCCGCGGUAAUACGUAGGUGGCAAGCGUUAUCCGGAUUUAUUGGGCGUAAAGCGAGCGCAGGCGGUUGCUUAGGUCUGAUGUGAAAGCCUUCGGCUUAACCGAAGAAGUGCAUCGGAAACCGGGCGACUUGAGUGCAGAAGAGGACAGUGGAACUCCAUGUGUAGCGGUGGAAUGCGUAGAUAUAUGGAAGAACACCAGUGGCGAAGGCGGCUGUCUAGUCUGCAACUGACGCUGAGGCUCGAAAGCAUGGGUAGCAAACAGGAUUAGAUACCCUGGUAGUCCAUGCCGUAAACGAUGAGUGCUAGGUGUUGGAGGGUUUCCGCCCUUCAGUGCCGGAGCUAACGCAUUAAGCACUCCGCCUGGGGAGUACGACCGCAAGGUUGAAACUCAAAGGAAUUGACGGGGGCCCGCACAAGCGGUGGAGCAUGUGGUUUAAUUCGAAGCUACGCGAAGAACCUUACCAGGUCUUGACAUCUUGCGCUAACCUUAGAGAUAAGGCGUUCCCUUCGGGGACGCAAUGACAGGUGGUGCAUGGUCGUCGUCAGCUCGUGUCGUGAGAUGUUGGGUUAAGUCCCGCAACGAGCGCAACCCUUGUUACUAGUUGCCAGCAUUAAGUUGGGCACUCUAGUGAGACUGCCGGUGACAAACCGGAGGAAGGUGGGGACGACGUCAGAUCAUCAUGCCCCUUAUGACCUGGGCUACACACGUGCUACAAUGGACGGUACAACGAGUCGCAAGCUCGCGAGAGUAAGCUAAUCUCUUAAAGCCGUUCUCAGUUCGGACUGUAGGCUGCAACUCGCCUACACGAAGUCGGAAUCGCUAGUAAUCGCGGAUCAGCAUGCCGCGGUGAAUACGUUCCCGGGCCUUGCACUCAACGCCCGUCA